AGAUAAUCAACAGAAAUCAAGGCUGGAAACAGGAGAACCCAAUCUGAAGGCCUGUGCAUGAGGCAUUACCAUCCACGAGCUGCCUAGUGAUUGACACGCCUCCACGUGAUCAGCCAUGGCAAUAGAUUCUUCUAUUCUGAAUACCGCAAUGCACCGUCGAGUUUUAAGGAACCAGCAUCAAGAAGAGCUGACAAUCAUCAGCUGGCAGCUCUCUUCAGGGAUUGCUCCCAGCUGAAGAGAUCUCCCCAUGCUCACGUGCUUCCUGGGGCAACCUGCAUCCAGUGACUCCCCCAUGCACAGAUAUGAAGACCAGGCACGUUCACUCCAGCCCAGGAAAACUCUGAACACUAAACUCAGUUACAGCUAAAUUGUUUCUUGACGCUGCAUUGCAGCCUAACUUUACCCUCUGCUCAAUCCUACUUCUUUUUCUUAUCCCACAGGUGUUAUUUAUUCCCAAAAGCGUUCCUUAAUCACCUUCCUGAAUGCUUCCUUGCCAUCCCAGAGUCAGCUUCCUGAAAACGUCAGUCUGCAAUUGCUUCCAAUUCAAUUUCCCAGCUAAACUUCGAGUGUAUCCGGUUAGCCCCAAAUCCACUUCCAUCUCCCCGGUGCAUCACAUUCAUCUCUCUGCUGGAUCUUGGCCUUAACGUCCACCCCAUUCCAAUCAGUGCUCCUUUCUCCAGACAACAAGGACUUUCAAAGACGUUAAUCUAAUGAUGCUAAAACUUAAAAUUCCAUUAAAACUUGUUUUCAGUUUUCCAUUGCAUUUAAGAUCACGUCCAAUCUCCCUAACAUGGCUUUUCGUGAUCUGGUCCCCGAUUACAUUUCAAGGUUGUUCUGAAUCUUCUUUGUUCCUGUAGAAGCUCAUCUCCCCUUUCAAUUCCCUUUUUUGUUCCAGAUAUGAGAAACUUCUUUAAUUCUUUUAUAAAGUGACAUAACAUGCAAACCUAAUAUAAUAUAUUGUAAUGUCUAAAGAGGCUGACUCAGGAGGCUGUGGAAUCUACAUUUACACUAACUGAACCAUUUCAUCUGUAUGACUUCCAGGAGGUUAUUUACCUCCCUGAACCUCACUAUCUGUGUU
Molecule: long non-coding RNA, 1078 nt
Filed under: Equus caballus (horse)
Lineage: Eukaryota; Metazoa; Chordata; Mammalia; Perissodactyla; Equidae
Description: lncRNA (ENSECAG00000047967.1)
Source: RNAcentral